GACGAACGCUGGCGGCGUGCUUAACACAUGCAAGUCGAACGGUAAGGCCCUUCGGGGUACACGAGUGGCGAACGGGUGAGUAACACGUGGGUGAUCUGCCCUGCACUUCGGGAUAAGCCUGGGAAACUGGGUCUAAUACCGGAUAGGACCACUGCCUACAUGGGUGGUGGUGGAAAGCUUUUGCGGUGUGGGAUGGGCCCGCGGCCUAUCGGCUUGUUGGUGGGGUGAUGGCCUACCAAGGCGACGACGGGUAGCCGGCCUGAGAGGGUGACCGGCCACACUGGGACUGAGAUACGGCCCAGACUCCUACGGGAGGCAGCAGUGGGGAAUAUUGCACAAUGGGCGCAAGCCUGAUGCAGCGACGCCGCGUGAGGGAUGACGGCCUUCGGGUUGUAAACCUCUUUCAGCACCGACGAAGCGCAAGUGACGGUAGGUGCAGAAGAAGGACCGGCCAACUACGUGCCAGCAGCCGCGGUAA
RNAcentral lists this ribosomal RNA (478 nucleotides) under uncultured bacterium. RNAcentral's name for it is "partial 16S ribosomal RNA". It matches the Rfam family "Bacterial small subunit ribosomal RNA", at positions 28 to 523 of the family's 1533-position model. The record is from RNAcentral.